RNAcentral lists this ribosomal RNA (305 nucleotides) under uncultured bacterium. RNAcentral's name for it is "bacterial SSU rRNA". It matches the Rfam family "Bacterial small subunit ribosomal RNA", at positions 338 to 660 of the family's 1533-position model. The record is from RNAcentral.
CCUACGGGAGGCAGCAGUGGGGGAUAUUGCACAAUGGGGGGAACCCUGAUGCAGCGACGCCGCGUGGGUGAAGGAGCGUUUCGGCGCGUAAGGCCCUAUCGGCAGGGAAGAAGGAGGACGGUACCUGACUAAGAAGCCCCGGCUAACUACGUGCCAGCAGCCGCGGUAAUACGUAGGGAGCGAGCGUUGUCCGGAAUUACUGGGUGUAAAGGGAGCGUAGGCGGGACUGCAAGUUGGGGGUCAAAUCUACCGGCUCAACCGGUAGCCGCACUCAAAACUGCAGUUCUUGAGUGAAGUAGAGGCAG